Ribosomal RNA from Panthera pardus (leopard), 138 nucleotides. The record is from Ensembl. Lineage: Eukaryota; Metazoa; Chordata; Mammalia; Carnivora; Felidae.
GUCUACGGCCAUACCACCCUGAAUGCGCCCGAUCUCGUCUGAUCUCAGAAGCUAAGCAGGGUCGGGCCUGGUUAGUGCUUGGAUGGGAGAAUGCAUAACUAGGGGGUCACCAGUGGGGGCCAAAAUUGACUGUAGCUU